GGAGAGCCCUCAAGAAAGGAGGGAAAGAAGCAGGACACUAGGAUGGGGCUAGAGGGACAAGGGAGCCACCAGCCCACAGGAGCCUGGGACUUCUGCUAUAGUUCAUGAUCUCUUAAGACACAGUCGGCUCCCAACUCUUAUUUUGCUUUUGCUUGUUAUUUUCUGCUUGCAAUAUUAGGUAGCCAGGGGGACAGAAGUGCUGCAAAGAGUGGGGACACUCGGUGCCUCACCUCGGCAGCUUUUUAAAUAGCUACAGAGAUAGAGAAAAUAGCCCCCCAGAC
Molecule: long non-coding RNA, 281 nt
Filed under: Homo sapiens (human)
Lineage: Eukaryota; Metazoa; Chordata; Mammalia; Primates; Hominidae
Description: non-protein coding lnc-GRB7-2:1
Source: RNAcentral